Molecule: unclassified non-coding RNA, 306 nt
Filed under: Bombus terrestris (buff-tailed bumblebee)
Lineage: Eukaryota; Metazoa; Arthropoda; Insecta; Hymenoptera; Apidae
Description: misc RNA ENSBTSG00005033751.1
Source: RNAcentral
UGCCGGCGACCAUUAGAGAUCGAACAAGCCGCGGAAAUUAGGAGGACUACGAGAUCGUCAACUCGGAGGCGAGUUUGUUUUCCAACCGAUCAUUCUGGCUGAAUACACCUUAAGAUUCCGAAGGAGUCGUCGGCGUUUCCCUCGUGUUCAGAGGUCGGCAAUUACACGGCGGACAGGUUACGGGGAAAGAGUUAUGGCGUUCGAACGAGCCACGGUGUCUUAUGGCGGAGAUAGCGGGACGAUUAAGGCAAUUACUCCACCAGUCAUCCUUUUGCACGGAAAGAAAGAAAAAGAACAAGGGAGCCA